Molecule: ribosomal RNA, 400 nt
Filed under: uncultured bacterium
Lineage: Bacteria
Description: bacterial SSU rRNA
Rfam family: Bacterial small subunit ribosomal RNA
Source: RNAcentral
UAGGGAAUAUUGCGCAAUGGGGGAAACCCUGACGCAGCGACGCCGCGUGAGUGAUGAAGGCCUUCGGGUCGUAAAGCUCUGUCGUAUGGGACUAACACAAUGAAGGUACCAUGCAAGAAAGGAUCGGCUAACUUCGUGCCAGCAGCCGCGGUAAGACGAGGGAUCCUAGCGUUGUUCGGAAUUAUUGGGCGUAAAGCGGGUGUAGGCGGUCUUUUAAGUCAGGUGUGAAAUCCCGGGGCUCAACCCCGGAAGUGCAUUUGAUACUGGAAGACUUGAGUGUGGUAGAGGUUACUGGAAUUCUUGGUGUAGUGGUGAAAUACGUAGAUAUCAAGAGGAAUACCGGAGGCGAAGGCGGGUAACUGGGCCAACACUGACGCUGAGAUCCGAAAGCGUGGGGAUC